This 1304-nucleotide ribosomal RNA is filed under the name Bacillus sp. (in: firmicutes). RNAcentral describes it as "bacterial SSU rRNA". It matches the Rfam family "Bacterial small subunit ribosomal RNA", at positions 79 to 1370 of the family's 1533-position model. The record is from RNAcentral. Lineage: Bacteria; Bacillati; Bacillota; Bacilli; Caryophanales; Bacillaceae.
UUGCUCCCGGAUGUUAGCGGCGGACGGGUGAGUAACACGUGGGUAACCUGCCUGUAAGACUGGGAUAACUCCGGGAAACCGGAGCUAAUACCGGAUAGUUCCUUGAACCGCAUGGUUCAAGGAUGAAAGACGGUUUCGGCUGUCACUUACAGAUGGACCCGCGGCGCAUUAGCUAGUUGGUGAGGUAACGGCUCACCAAGGCGACGAUGCGUAGCCGACCUGAGAGGGUGAUCGGCCACACUGGGACUGAGACACGGCCCAGACUCCUACGGGAGGCAGCAGUAGGGAAUCUUCCGCAAUGGACGAAAGUCUGACGGAGCAACGCCGCGUGAGUGAUGAAGGUUUUCGGAUCGUAAAGCUCUGUUGUUAGGGAAGAACAAGUGCAAGAGUAACUGCUUGCACCUUGACGGUACCUAACCAGAAAGCCACGGCUAACUACGUGCCAGCAGCCGCGGUAAUACGUAGGUGGCAAGCGUUGUCCGGAAUUAUUGGGCGUAAAGGGCUCGCAGGCGGUUUCUUAAGUCUGAUGUGAAAGCCCCCGGCUCAACCGGGGAGGGUCAUUGGAAACUGGGAAACUUGAGUGCAGAAGAGGAGAGUGGAAUUCCACGUGUAGCGGUGAAAUGCGUAGAGAUGUGGAGGAACACCAGUGGCGAAGGCGACUCUCUGGUCUGUAACUGACGCUGAGGAGCGAAAGCGUGGGGAGCGAACAGGAUUAGAUACCCUGGUAGUCCACGCCGUAAACGAUGAGUGCUAAGUGUUAGGGGGUUUCCGCCCCUUAGUGCUGCAGCUAACGCAUUAAGCACUCCGCCUGGGGAGUACGGUCGCAAGACUGAAACUCAAAGGAAUUGACGGGGGCCCGCACAAGCGGUGGAGCAUGUGGUUUAAUUCGAAGCAACGCGAAGAACCUUACCAGGUCUUGACAUCCUCUGACAACCCUAGAGAUAGGGCUUUCCCUUCGGGGACAGAGUGACAGGUGGUGCAUGGUUGUCGUCAGCUCGUGUCGUGAGAUGUUGGGUUAAGUCCCGCAACGAGCGCAACCCUUGAUCUUAGUUGCCAGCAUUCAGUUGGGCACUCUAAGGUGACUGCCGGUGACAAACCGGAGGAAGGUGGGGAUGACGUCAAAUCAUCAUGCCCCUUAUGACCUGGGCUACACACGUGCUACAAUGGACAGAACAAAGGGCUGCGAGACCGCAAGGUUUAGCCAAUCCCACAAAUCUGUUCUCAGUUCGGAUCGCAGUCUGCAACUCGACUGCGUGAAGCUGGAAUCGCUAGUAAUCGCGGAUCAGCAUGCCGCGGUGAAUACG